AGUGAACGCUGGCGGUAGGCCUAACACAUGCAAGUCGAACGGCAGCACAGUAAGAGCUUGCUCUUACGGGUGGCGAGUGGCGGACGGGUGAGGAAUACAUCGGAAUCUACUUUUUCGUGGGGGAUAACGUAGGGAAACUUACGCUAAUACCGCAUACGACCUACGGGUGAAAGCUGGGGAUCUUCGGACCUUGCGCGAUUGAAUGAGCCGAUGUCGGAUUAGCUAGUUGGCGGGGUAAAGGCCCACCAAGGCGACGAUCCGUAGCUGGUCUGAGAGGAUGAUCAGCCACACUGGAACUGAGACACGGUCCAGACUCCUGCGGGAGGCAGCAGUGGGGAAUAUUGGACAAUGGGCGCAAGCCUGAUCCAGCCAUACCGCGUGGGUGAAGAAGGCCUUCGGGUUGUAAAGCCCUUUUGUUGGGAAAGAAAAGCAGCAGGUUAAUACCCCGCUGUUCUGACGGUACCCAAAGAAUAAGCACCGGCUAACUUCGUG
Molecule: ribosomal RNA, 492 nt
Filed under: uncultured bacterium
Lineage: Bacteria
Description: partial 16S ribosomal RNA
Rfam family: Bacterial small subunit ribosomal RNA
Source: RNAcentral